UACAGAGGUCCCAAGCGUUGUUCGGAUUCACUGGGCGUAAAGGGUGCGUAGGUGGCAAGGUAAGUUUGAUGUGAAAUCUCCGGGCUUAACCCGGAAACUGCAUUGAAUACUAUCUCGCUAGAGAGUUGGAGGGGAGACUGGAAUACUUGGUGUAGCAGUGAAAUGCGUAGAUAUCAAGUGGAACACCAGUGGCGAAGGCGAGUCUCUGGACAACUUCUGACACUGAGGCACGAAAGCUAGGGGAGCAAACAG
Molecule: ribosomal RNA, 252 nt
Filed under: uncultured bacterium
Lineage: Bacteria
Description: partial 16S ribosomal RNA
Rfam family: Bacterial small subunit ribosomal RNA
Source: RNAcentral